UUUGGCCUGUGAUGAAGGAAAGAAUUGCCUACAUUGUCUGAUGUUAUUUAACAUGACAGAGAGAUAUUCAAUUGUCUGAGGCCUUG
Daucus carota subsp. sativus is the source of this 86-nucleotide small nucleolar RNA. RefSeq annotates it as small nucleolar RNA SNORD34. The record is from RefSeq and is a predicted model, not a curated record. The transcript has a single exon. NCBI's taxonomy places the organism in Eukaryota, Viridiplantae, Streptophyta, Magnoliopsida, Apiales, Apiaceae.